Long non-coding RNA from Sinocyclocheilus grahami, 269 nucleotides. RefSeq lists it as uncharacterized. Lineage: Eukaryota; Metazoa; Chordata; Actinopteri; Cypriniformes; Cyprinidae. The transcript is spliced from 3 exons. The record is from RefSeq and is a predicted model, not a curated record.
AUGGAGUUGCACAAUAGGGGCUCAGGGGCUCACUGUGGCAUUCAUAAAACCUUGGAUGCAGUGAGCAGAAGGUUUUAUUGGCCAGGAAUGUCUGUGGACAUUAAAAAAUGGAUAACGCAUUGUGCAGCUUGCCAGCAAAAACAACGUUCUCUAAAGAACCAAACCCAAUAUACCCCAAUUGAGGUGGCAGAGCCAUGGGAGAUUGUGGGUAUGGACUUGGUGGGAAAGCUCACACCAACAAAAGAUGGUUACCAGUACAUUUGCGUUAU